AUCAAGAUCAGGCAUUUAACAACUAACUUGUGCGCCUUGCCAUUAUGGCUAAAGCACUAAAGCGGAGUAA
This 70-nucleotide non-coding RNA is filed under the name Cryomorphaceae bacterium. Its description in RNAcentral is "SAM-V sequence". It matches the Rfam family "SAM-V (S-adenosyl methionine) riboswitch aptamer". From Rfam's summary of the family: SAM-V riboswitch is a cis-regulatory element that was recognised in marine bacteria it recognise S-adenosylmethione (SAM). Lineage: Bacteria; Pseudomonadati; Bacteroidota; Flavobacteriia; Flavobacteriales; Cryomorphaceae. The record is from RNAcentral.